Molecule: long non-coding RNA, 480 nt
Organism: Pieris rapae (cabbage white)
Lineage: Eukaryota; Metazoa; Arthropoda; Insecta; Lepidoptera; Pieridae
Exons: 3
Source: RefSeq, a predicted model, not a curated record
CUAAAUAAUCAAUAAUUUUAUUUACAUACAGACGAACUAUCGCCCGAGGACCACACGAUAUCAUCGGCCAGUCUUUGUAUGUCACCAAGCGCGGAUUUAAUUCCCUCUGGACCGCCGUUACACGCGUCCACACCUCUGGAGAGGCGGACGUUAAAUGGCUGCGUGGCUAGAGGGAGACAAAAUAAUAAUGAGAAAGACAGAGAUAGCGAUAUAAUUAACCAUACGGACGUUGUUGACGCUAUCAAUGGGAACGUACAUGUCAACGUAGUUUCGGAGUCCACGAGUAUGGACGUGUUGAGUGGAGGCGAGAGCGAUGCGGGCGACACGCUGAGUAGGCGGAAUAAUAAUAGCUUAUCGUCGCGUAUGACGCUAGGUGAUAUGACGUGUAAGCGUAAGGCCGGUGACGUCACGUACUACGUCGCUAAGGAAUUACUCAUGACGGAACGCACCUACAAGAGGGACUUGGAACUUCUUACUGUU